RNAcentral lists this ribosomal RNA (491 nucleotides) under uncultured bacterium. Its description in RNAcentral is "bacterial SSU rRNA". It matches the Rfam family "Bacterial small subunit ribosomal RNA", at positions 588 to 1084 of the family's 1533-position model. The record is from RNAcentral.
UCAGUUGUGAAAGUUUGCGGCUCAACCGUAAAAUUGCAGUUGAAACUGGCAGUCUUGAGUACAGUAGAGGUGGGCGGAAUUCGUGGUGUAGCGGUGAAAUGCUUAGAUAUCACGAAGAACUCCGAUUGCGAAGGCAGCUCACUAGACUGUCACUGACACUGAUGCUCGAAAGUGUGGGUAUCAAACAGGAUUAGAUACCCUGGUAGUCCACACAGUAAACGAUGAAUACUCGCUGUUUGCGAUAUACAGUAAGCGGCCAAGCGAAAGCAUUAAGUAUUCCACCUGGGGAGUACGCCGGCAACGGUGAAACUCAAAGGAAUUGACGGGGGCCCGCACAAGCGGAGGAACAUGUGGUUUAAUUCGAUGAUACGCGAGGAACCUUACCCGGGCUUAAAUUGCAAAUGAAUAUGUAGGAAACUAUAUAGCCGCAAGGCAUUUGUGAAGGUGCUGCAUGGUUGUCGUCAGCUCGUGCCGUGAGGUGUCGGCUUAAG